AGCAAAGUCAGGAUGCAUUUUUGCAUAGAAAAACAGAAAAAUACAUCCUGACUUUUCCGA
This 60-nucleotide microRNA precursor is filed under the name Tupaia belangeri chinensis (Chinese tree shrew). RNAcentral's name for it is "Tupaia chinensis (Chinese tree shrew) microRNA tch-mir-9771d precursor". The record is from miRBase by way of RNAcentral. Lineage: Eukaryota; Metazoa; Chordata; Mammalia; Scandentia; Tupaiidae.